UCAUUUUUGAGACAGAGAGAGACCCGAGCAUGAACAGGGGAGGGGCAGAGAGAGGGGGAGACACAGAAUCUGAAGCAGGCUCCAGGCUCUGAGCUGUCAGCACAGAGCCCGACGUGGGGCUUGAACUCACGGACUGUGAGAUCGUGACCUGAGCGGAAGUCAGACACUUAACCCACCGAGCCACCCAGGUGCCCCUAAGCAGCCUGCUUUGUAAACAUAAAUUUGCUUCAUGGGUCUAUUGUUCUUUUUAACAGUCCUCAACCCAUCACCCACCCUCAAAUGUUUAUUUGAUUUUUUUUUUUCCCCACAGAAUCUGAUACAAAUUCUUGACACAAUGGAGGUGAUGAAUAAAUAUACUUGCCUGAGUGACUGUGUGGGUGGCAUGCAGCCUCACUAUAGAUCUGACAGUCUCUGCAGAGCAGUCCCAGAAAGCAGCAUAAAAAGAUUCCUAAACUCACCUCCUCCUGUGGACAGCAAUAUAAAGCAUAUUUUUCCUGAGGAGGAACUGAAGGCUGAUUAAACAGCUUCUGCACAACAAAUGAUAGCAGAAUCACAUAGAGAAGAGAUGAAGCCAUAGUAACUACAAAACACCUAUGCUAGACACAGCGACAUACAGAAGGGAAGAGUAUCAUCAAGGAGUCUGUGCACAGAUUUGCCCACCCUAAGGCACAGUAAAAACAACAACAAUGGUUUAAAGGACAACUGGACUGUGAAAGUUUUGAGAAGAUGGUGGAAUAGGAGAAUCCUGAGCUCGGGUCCUCUCAUAGAAGUAUCAAGAUAAGAGCUACAUCUGUGAGACUAACUCUGAAACGACCUCAAGACUGGCAGAACAGACCUUCCAUAGCCAACUGUGGAUAGAAGGCCACCUCAAAACGGGUAAGAGGGGCGGAGACAGAGUUGGGAACCAUAACCCUGGGUAGGACUAACCUCAAACAGAAGGGACAUUACAAGCUCAGAAGAGGGAGAAAAUCAGACUCCUAUCAGACACUGGGGACCUGCACUGGAAGGACCAGUUUCUAUAACAUUUGGCUUUGAAAACCAGCACAGUUAAAACUCUAGGAGAGCAGGAGGGUGAUAUGAAAAUGAGCUCCUGCACAUGAAAAUCCAGCAACUAAAUAACUCAGCCCGAGACACAGCACAGGAAGAGGAGUUUGAAAGAUCCUGGGCUAUACAUGAAUGAGAU
This 1183-nucleotide long non-coding RNA is filed under the name Felis catus (domestic cat). Its description in RNAcentral is "lncRNA (ENSFCAG00000052589.1)". The record is from RNAcentral. Lineage: Eukaryota; Metazoa; Chordata; Mammalia; Carnivora; Felidae.